AUUAUAGGUUGGUGCAAAAGUAAUUGUGGUUUUUGCAAUUAAAAGUAACUGCAAAACCGCAAUUACUUUUGCACCAAACAAAUA
Molecule: microRNA precursor, 84 nt
Filed under: Saimiri boliviensis boliviensis (Bolivian squirrel monkey)
Lineage: Eukaryota; Metazoa; Chordata; Mammalia; Primates; Cebidae
Description: miRNA (ENSSBOG00000002524.1)
Source: RNAcentral